ACACGAGCGUGGGCCCAGCCCAGAACGGAGGGCUCCUGAGACCUGGCCCCAGCAGGGCCUCUGCUCCACCUUCAGCUCGGUCUGGUCCCACCACCCGGCAUGGCCUCAAAGAUUUGGGGGCAGGCGGUGACCCCUCGCCAGAGCAGAGGACAGCAGUCUGCAAAGGCCUCCAGACAGAGCCUAGCCACGACCACCAGGGACCAAGAAGGAAAAGAGCGUCUUGCACAGACGUCCCUGUGAGCCUGCACAAGCAGCAGGGCAUCACUUCACGCAUCUUAUUAUCACACGCAGCCCGAAAGGCGGCCCAGCCCCGCCAGGUCCAUGUGGAGCUGCGCCCUCCGGGUUCCUCUGUCUCUCU
This is a long non-coding RNA of Bubalus bubalis (water buffalo), 358 nucleotides long. RefSeq lists it as uncharacterized. The transcript has 3 exons. Lineage: Eukaryota; Metazoa; Chordata; Mammalia; Artiodactyla; Bovidae. The record is from RefSeq and is a predicted model, not a curated record.